UAACUCCGGGAAACCGGGGCUAAUACCGGAUAAUAUUUUGAACUGCAUGGUUCGAAAUUGAAAGGCGGCUUCGGCUGUCACUUAUGGAUGGACCCGCGUCUCAUUAGCUAGUUGGUGAGGUAACGGCUCACCAAGGCAACGAUGCGUAACCGACCUGAGAGGGUGAUCGGCCACACUGGGACUGACACACGGCCCACACUCCUACGGGAGGCAGCAGUAGGGAAUCUUCCGCAAUGGACGAAAGUCUGACGGACCACCGCCGCGUGAGUGAUGAAUGCUUUCGGGUCGUAAAACUCUGUUGUUAGGAAAGAACAAGUGCUAAUUGAAUAAGCUGGCACCUUGACGGUACCUAACCAGAAAGCCACGGCUAACUACGUGCCACCAGCCGCGGUAAUACGUAGGUGGCAAGCGUUAUCCGGAAUUAUUGGGCGUAAAGCGCGCGCAGGUGGUUUCUUAAGUCUGAUGUGAAAGCCCACGGCUCAACCGUGGAGGGUCAUUGGAAACUGGCAUACUUGAGUGCAAAAAAGGAGAGUGUAAUUCCAUGUGUAGCGGUGAAAUGCAUAUAGAUAUGGAGGAACACCAGUGGCGAAAGCUACUUUCUGGUCUGUAACUGACACUGACGC
This 623-nucleotide ribosomal RNA is filed under the name Bacillus thuringiensis. Its description in RNAcentral is "bacterial SSU rRNA". It matches the Rfam family "Bacterial small subunit ribosomal RNA", at positions 144 to 752 of the family's 1533-position model. The record is from RNAcentral. Lineage: Bacteria; Bacillati; Bacillota; Bacilli; Caryophanales; Bacillaceae.